UAGGGAAUCUUCCACAAUGGACGAAAGUCUGAUGGAGCAACGCCGCGUGAGUGAUGAAGGGUUUCGGCUCGUAAAACUCUGUUGUUGGAGAAGAACAGGUGUGAGAGUAACUGUUCACAUCUUGACGGUAUCCAACCAGAAAGCCACGGCUAACUACGUGCCAGCAGCCGCGGUAAUACGUAGGUGGCAAGCGUUGUCCGGAUUUAUUGGGCGUAAAGCGAGCGCAGGCGGUUUCUUAGGUCUGAUGUGAAAGCCUUCGGCUUAACCGGAGAAGUGCAUCGGAAACCAGGAGACUUGAGUGCAGAAGAGGACAGUGGAACUCCAUGUGUAGCGGUGAAAUGCGUAGAUAUAUGGAAGAACACCAGUGGCGAAGGCGGCUGUCUGGUCUGUAACUGACGCUGAGGCUCGAAAGCAUGGGUAGCGAACAGGAUUAGAUACCCUGGUAGUCCAUGCCGUAAACGAUGAGUGCUAAGUGUUGGAGGGUUUCCGCCCUUCAGUGCUGCAGCU
Molecule: ribosomal RNA, 507 nt
Filed under: uncultured bacterium
Lineage: Bacteria
Description: partial 16S ribosomal RNA
Rfam family: Bacterial small subunit ribosomal RNA
Source: RNAcentral